This 415-nucleotide ribosomal RNA is filed under the name uncultured bacterium. RNAcentral describes it as "bacterial SSU rRNA". It matches the Rfam family "Bacterial small subunit ribosomal RNA", at positions 11 to 414 of the family's 1533-position model. The record is from RNAcentral.
GUUUGAUCCUGGCUCAGGACGAACGCUGGCGGCGUGCUUAACACAUGCAAGUCUACGGAAAGGGAGAGCAGCAAUGUUUUCCCGGACAGUGGCGCAAGGGUGCGUAACGCGUAAGCAAUCUGCCUUUAGGAGAGGAAUAACUUCGAGAAAUCUUGGCUAAUACCUCAUGAUGCAGCGGCACCGCAUGGUGAUGUUGUUAAAGUUGCAGCAAUGUAACGCCUAGAGAUGAGCUUGCGUCUGAUUAGCUAGUUGGUGAGGUAACGGCUCACCAAGGCAACGAUCAGUAGCUGGUCUGAGAGGAUGAUCAGCCACACUGGAACUGAGAUACGGUCCAGACUCCUACGGGAGCAGCAGUGAGGAAUAUUGGCAAUCGCCCGCGAAGGGUGACCCAGCAACGCCGUGUGGAGGAUGAAGG